Molecule: ribosomal RNA, 627 nt
Filed under: uncultured Russulaceae
Lineage: Eukaryota; Fungi; Basidiomycota; Agaricomycetes; Russulales; Russulaceae
Description: LSU rRNA
Rfam family: Eukaryotic large subunit ribosomal RNA
Source: RNAcentral
UAAGCGGAGGAAAAGAAACUAACAAGGAUUCCCCUAGUAACUGCGAGUGAAGCGGGAAAAGCUCAAAUUUAAAAUCUGGCGGUCUUUGGCCGUCCGAGUUGUAAUUUAGAGAAGCGUCUUCCGCGCCGGACCGUGCACAAGUCUCCUGGAAUGGAGCGUCAUAGAGGGUGAGAAUCCCGUCUUUGGCACGGAUGCCCGGUGCUUCUGUGAUGCGCUCUCGAAGAGUCGAGUUGUUUGGGAAUGCAGCUCAAAAUGGGUGGUGAACUCCAUCUAAAGCUAAAUAUUGGCGAGAGACCGAUAGCGAACAAGUACCGUGAGGGAAAGAUGAAAAGCACUUUGGAAAGAGAGUGAAACAGUACGUGAAAUUGUUGAAAGGGAAACGCUUGAAGUCAGUCGCGUCGACCGAGACUCAGCCUUGCCUUGGCUUGGUGUACUUCUCGGCCCGACGGGUCAGCGUCAAUUUUGCCCCUCGGAUAAUGGCAAGGGAAAGGUGGCACCUUUACGGGUGCGUUAUAGUCUCCUGUCGCAUGCGAGGGGUGGGAUUGAGGAACUCAGCGCGCACCUUGGUGUCGGGGCUUCUGCCCACGUCACGCGCUUAGGAUGCUGGCAUAAUGGCUUUAAACGACC